GCAGAAGACCAUCUGCUCUGAAGGGUGUAGUUGAAAAAGAGCCAUUUUGAAUCAAAGCUGGAAAAUGCAUGCACUCAAAAAGGCACGGAUGGCUUAUAUUGGUGAUGGGCCAAGUACAAAGUCUGGGUUCCCCUGAAUGAGUGCCAAUAUGACUUCAGGUCAAAUAGAGACUAGAUUCCAAGUAUUGUACAUGAAGGAAAAGUCAAAGAAGUGAAUGCAUCCAGGAUAAAAGCUGAAUUUGUUUCGCUUAAGUUUAAUUAAAAUGAAGCAAAAUUAAGUAAAUAUCCUUACUACCCUUAUAUUUAAUAAUCUGUCCAAUUAAACAUUACAAUUUGACAACAACUUGGACCAAAUCUGGUCUGCAAAUAUACAUAUGACCAAGAGAUGGCAAAAGAGAGUUCAAAUCUUCUUUUUUCUGCCAUCUAGUGGUCAUUCCAUAUUUUAACCCAGACCUGAUAGCUCUAGCGGUGACUGUUGGAGAAACACUGUGGAAUAAUGUACACUCUUUUGGGGGGAUGGACCAGGGCUUUUUUUUUUUUUUUUGUCAUAGAACACCCAGAUCGGAGUUCUGGCACUUUUUUUGGAUGGAACCUUGUAGAGUGGGCAAGGCGGGUUGUGUGACGUAUGUGAGUUCCGUCACUUUUUUUUUUUUUUUACAAAAAAAGCACUGGGGUGGACUAUGUGCAAUUUAAGGACCUCUGUGCAUCUUUGUCAGGCAGAGGAAUGUAAGAAAGAAAGCACAAAAAAAGACUUCUUAAACGAAGUUUAAAUAUUUAAUAUCUCUUUUUUAAAAAGGCACACAGAGUAGUUAUUAUCAUACUUACAAACUUAAAUUACACCUGUUUUUACCAUUUCUUGAAAAUAUAUAUUUAGCGAGAGCAAUUUCUAUAAAAAGAAGGUUAUAUGUGGUCCUUCAGCUGUUGUUAACAGUAAGUUCCAUCAGCCUUUAGUUGACUGAGAAGUUCCUUUACAUCUUAAAAGUCACAUGUAGCUAAAUGUCUUUUUAACUUUCUUCAGCCUUUCACAGUACUCUUUGUACUGGAAAACACUGGCGGCUCAUUUAAAUCAUGUGGUUCUGGAAACAUUUUUAAGUUUCUCUGGGUUAGAUCCUCAUAAUGCCUUUCCUGGCUGAUGUCCCAAGGCUGUUUGUCCAAUGUAUCGCUAUCAGAAAGGCAGCGAUACAUUUUCUUUUUAAAAAAGAAAAGUAUAAAGUGAUAUAAUUGCCCUGUAAAUAAUGUUUUUAUUAUAGCAAACAUUUCACAGUUAAUUGCAGAUAUUACUUAACAAUGCUUUCCACUGCUUGUGAGUGCAUUUUCUCUUGGGCAACACAGUCAAACUAGUUUAUGGGUGGAUUUGAUCAACUAGGUCUGCAACAUCAGUGUACAGAUUCAUGUGGUACUAAUGAUGCAGUUUUAAUUUUAAUUUAAGACAGAUGGCAGAGGAAAAAACUUGUUGCGUUAAAUAUAUAAUUAGCCACUUGUUCCAUCAGCAUGCCAGAUUAUGUGCCUAUUUCUCAAUGAACCUCAGCUAACAGGGUUUGGGAGCUUAUUGUUCUGGAGGAUGAGUGAGAGAUGAAAAACCAACCAGGAAGGCAGGUUGCUCUGUCUGCUCUAAAGCCUCAGUUCCCAUUUCAGUUGUACCUGAUAAACAGGUAAAGAUGAAACUGUUGAGGUCCCAAGCAAAAACACAACCAUGCUGGCUGGGAAAUUCUGGGACUUGAAGUCCACAUGUCUUAAUAUUGCCAAGAUUGGACACCUGUGCUAUAGGUGAGGUCUGAGGUGACGUACCAUCUCUAGCAAGCUCCUAAUACGAAGCUGGAAUCUUUUAUUAAACUUUCUGAUCUCAGGCCAUGUGGGAACUUUGCAAGGAGAUAUUGCCUCUUCAGAGAAUGAUAUGGCGGUUACAUAAAAAGCCACAGUAAGCUUUUGCUUAGAACCUAGAAUUUUAAUUGUAGCUUGUUCAGUUAAACUAAGUAGGUUCUGUGAAUCCAACCAGUGUGAAUUAAACUGGCUUGGUUUAGUAUGAACCCAACUAAGGAAGUUUUAAAACCAUAUAUUAUGGCAGGGGUGUCAAACUCGCAAUAUCACGUGACAUGUUGCGAUGUAUUGUGACUUUUUUGCCGUUGCUGGCAAUGGGGUGGGCGCAGUUUCGCUAUGAUGCAUCCAGCCUGAGGGCCGGCAGUUUGACACCUCUGUAUUAUGGUAUAACGGUGCAGCCUAAUCAACAAACUAUGGCUAAACAAUCAUAUUUGUGCAACAAGGAUCUAAGAAUAUGAGACAUAGGAUAUGGCUUAUAAACUACACUAGUAGGGUAUACAUCCUGUACGUACGAUACCUACAUUAAAUAAACCACAUGAUGGCUUAGUGUGACAACCCUAAUCAUUCCUAGUGUAGAUUAUUCAGUUUUGAUUGUGUGCUUGUAGAUUCAAUCCAUUGUAGUUUAUUUAAACUAUAGUUUAGGACAAUUGAACCCAAUUUAAAACUCAUGAGAAGACCAAGGGGGAUAAGCCCCAUCUUGCCAAAAUUACACUUGUGGCCCUGCCUGGCCCUACCCUGAUAUAAAACAGUUUUCUUUGAUUUUAAUUUUUACAGCAAUUUUGUUUUAUAGAUUUGAUAGAUUCUUAUUCCUGGAAACUUCUCAUGAAAGCGAUAUCUGCCAAAAUUCCCUCUGCUGUGGGGGCUUUGAAGAGUUUGCAACUUUGGAGAUAGUUCCUUUUCUGGCAGAUGUCUCAUUGUUAUUGUGCCUGCCAAGUACAAUUGGGAAGCAUAACAAGAGAGAGGUGAUCUUUAUGCUUAUAACGCUUUGACCAGGAUGGCCAGCAUUAUGAAGAAAUUUGGGUCUCUGCACUUUAGCUAAAAAUAAUGACCUGACUUUUGGUUUUCAAAUAAUAAUAGUCAUAAUAACUUAUUCUUAAGAUGACUGGAAAAACACCUUUGGCACAUAAUGGCAAACUAAGGCACAACCUUUCUAAGAACGAACUUAGAAAGACACAGAUUGGAAGACUUCCUUCAGUAGCAGAGAUUGGUGAAAAAUACAGGCGGUCCUUGACUUACAACAGUUCAUUUACUGAUGGAAGUUAAAACAGCACUGAAAAAAGUGACCAAUGACUAUUUUUCACACUUAUAGCCAGUGCUUUUUUUCUAAAAAAAAAAAAAAA
This is a long non-coding RNA of Crotalus tigris (Tiger rattlesnake), 3157 nucleotides long. RefSeq lists it as uncharacterized. The transcript is spliced from 2 exons. The record is from RefSeq and is a predicted model, not a curated record. Lineage: Eukaryota; Metazoa; Chordata; Lepidosauria; Squamata; Viperidae.